This 388-nucleotide ribosomal RNA is filed under the name Crustomastigaceae sp. RNAcentral describes it as "partial small subunit ribosomal RNA". It matches the Rfam family "Eukaryotic small subunit ribosomal RNA", at positions 582 to 975 of the family's 1831-position model. The record is from RNAcentral. Lineage: Eukaryota; Viridiplantae; Chlorophyta; Mamiellophyceae; Dolichomastigales; Crustomastigaceae.
AUUCCAGCUCCAAUAGCGUAUAUUUAAGUUGUUGCAGUUAAAAAGCUCGUAGUUGGAUUUCGGGUGUCAUCUGCCGGUCCGCCGUUUCGGUGUGCACUGGCGGGCGUCAUCUUUCUGUCGAGGACGCGCUCCUGUCCUUUAUUGGUCGGGACGCGGAGUCGGCGAGGUUACUUUGAAAAAAUUAGAGUGUUCAAAGCGGGCUUACGCUUGAAUAUAUUAGCAUGGAAUAACACUAUAGGACUCCUGUUCUAUUUUGUUGGUCUUCGGGACGGGAGUAAUGAUUAAGAGGAACAGUUGGGGGCAUUCGUAUUUCAUUGUCAGAGGUGAAAUUCUUGGAUUUAUGAAAGACGAACUUCUGCGAAAGCAUUUGCCAAGGAUGUUUUCAUUA